Molecule: transfer RNA, 67 nt
Filed under: Neogeoscapheus hanni
Lineage: Eukaryota; Metazoa; Arthropoda; Insecta; Blattodea; Blaberidae
Description: tRNA-Cys
Source: RNAcentral
AGUCUUAUAUUCAUAUGAUGAUAAUAGAAUGCAAUUCUGUAGGAGUAAACUAGAUUUGCUAAGACUU